Molecule: ribosomal RNA, 252 nt
Filed under: uncultured Bacteroidales bacterium
Lineage: Bacteria; Pseudomonadati; Bacteroidota; Bacteroidia; Bacteroidales
Description: partial 16S ribosomal RNA
Rfam family: Bacterial small subunit ribosomal RNA
Source: RNAcentral
UACGUAUGGUGCAAGCGUUAUCCGGAUUUACUGGGUGUAAAGGGAGCGUAGGCGGUCCGUUAAGUCAGCGGUAAAAUUGCGGGGCUCAACCCCGUCGAGCCGUUGAAACUGGCAGUCUCGAGUUGGAGAGAAGUAUGCGGAAUGCGUGGUGUAGCGGUGAAAUGCAUAGAUAUCACGCAGAACCCCGAUUGCGAAGGCAGCAUGCCGGCUUCCGACUGACGCUGAAGCACGAAAGCGUGGGGAGCAAACAGG